This 1239-nucleotide long non-coding RNA is filed under the name Homo sapiens (human). RNAcentral describes it as "HSALNT0247811". The record is from RNAcentral. Lineage: Eukaryota; Metazoa; Chordata; Mammalia; Primates; Hominidae.
GAAUUAUUGGAUGUUGUGGGAGAAGUGAAUUGUGCAUGAAGACCUUGCCACACUCAUUUCAUUUGGAAGGCUUCUCUCCAGUAUGGACCACCUGAUGAGCUGGCCUAUCUGGUGGAUUCCCAAGUUCAGCAAUCUUUCAGCCACUGAGCAUUCUGGCCUCAAUGGUGGCAGCUCCCCUACCCUGCUGGUGGCAAAGGAAACUCCUGUUGCUGAGUUCUAGGAAAGCCAGGGCCACUGACGUUAUCAGGAGCAAAAAACCAAAGUGCCAGAGGCUCCAUGUCUCCUCUAGCCCAGCUCUUAAGGAAGCCCGCACCACCACUCUCUCCUCCUCCCCUACUCUUCAGAUCAGUUAAAGAAGGAAGACGACUUUUAAAUGGGGAAGAAGAGCAAGUUCCAUAACUCCUUCAGUUCCGUUUUUCUUAUAAUAGCCCCACAGCUUCUUGGCAUUUCCAGAGAGCAGUUUGUCCCGAUGUACAAACUCUGUGCAGCUAAGCAGAAAUAGAGAAUGUGGCCUUAACUGUAAAAAAAAAUAAUAAUUACCACAGUUUCUUACUUAAAUCAUACUUCCUAUCCAAGGAAGCACCUGUCUUUUUGCCACCUUUCUUCACAAGCAACACAUGUGUGAGCUCCUCACUGGGCAAGAUGGGUCACUGAUGAGUGAUACAGGCACCCACCUCCUGGAGGGAGCAUUCGCAGAUCAUAUGGAAUAACCUGGCUUACCAAGCAAGGCACCACGCUCCAAACUUUGGAUUUUUUAUUGCUACAUUCUGCAAUUUUUUACAAGACAAUCUUUACUGUUCCUGAGUUGCAUGUCUAGCAAAAAAGGAUGAAGAAUCAUGACAAUUGCAGUAGGCAGCUUCUAAAAUGGCUCCCAAUAAUCCCCGCCUCCCAGUAUUCACUCCCAUAUGGACUGGACCCAAUGACUUGCUCCUAAGAAAUGGAAUGCAGCAAAAGUGGCAGAUGUCACUUCCAAGGGGGAGGUUAUAAAAGGUACUGGUGGCCGGGCAUGGUGGCUCAUACGUGUAAUCCUAGCACUUUGGGAGGCCGAGGCAGGUGGAUCACCUGAGCUCAGGAGUUUGAGACAACCCUGGCCAACAUGGUGAAACCCCAUCUCUACUAAAAAUAUUAAAAAUUAGCCAGGCAUGGUGGUGUGCACCUGUAAUCCCAGCUACUUGGGAGGCUGAGGCACGAGAAUCGUUUGAACCCGAAGGCAGAGGUUGCAGUGAGCCAAGAUCACAC